GUCCUUCACCAUGGCAACUCGGGCGUCGGGAGCGUGGGCUGCGAGCCGAGUGGGUGGGGGAGCCGCCGGGCUCUAUCCGCCAGCCCACGAGAAGUGACGCAGGAGCACCAUUGAAGGAGAAUUAGACAAACUGGAGUCUACUGAGAUGAGGCUGUUGGGAAUGGCCCUGGUACCACAUCCUGAGCAGGGAUGGCCGAUGGAAUGGGGAGAAGACUCAGGUGGGGCUUGAGUGUGUCCUCUGAUGACUGAAGAGCCUUGGGAGCAAGCAUCCUUCCUGCUACUGUGUGUUUGCUGGUUCCAAUGAUACAUAAUUUGUGCUUUUCGUAAUUAAAGUAUUAUCCUGUAGAUCUUGAUGGUGUUGACUACUUCCCCUUGGAGGCGUGUGACCUGGAGAUGAGGUUAGCGUAUCCCACCACCACGUUUCCC
This 426-nucleotide long non-coding RNA is filed under the name Homo sapiens (human). RNAcentral describes it as "non-protein coding lnc-STK35-4:9". The record is from RNAcentral. Lineage: Eukaryota; Metazoa; Chordata; Mammalia; Primates; Hominidae.